CCCUUAGAUGUUCUGGGCCGCACGCGCGCUACACUGAUGCAUUCAACGAGUUUCUUCCUGGUCCGAGAGGAAUGGGUAACCUUUUGAAAGUGCAUCGUGAUAGGGAUAGACUAUUGCAAUUAUUGGUCUUCAACGAGGAAUUCCUAGUAGACGUAGUUCAUCAGACUGCAUCGAUUACGUCCCUGCCCUUUGUACACACCGCCCGUCGCUCCUACCGAUUGAAUGCUCAGGUGAGCCAUUCGGACUUUCAUCAUGCUGGUUUCCAGUUUUGAUGAAGGAAAGUCUUGCGAACCUUAUCAUUUAGAGGAAGGAGAAGUCGGAACA
Molecule: ribosomal RNA, 324 nt
Filed under: uncultured eukaryote
Lineage: Eukaryota
Description: partial 18S ribosomal RNA
Rfam family: Eukaryotic small subunit ribosomal RNA
Source: RNAcentral